CGAAUGCUGACAUAAGUAACGAUAAAGCGGGUGAAAAGCCCGCUCGCCGGAAGACCAAGGGUUCCUGUCCAACGUUAAUCGGGGCAGGGUGAGUCGACCCCUAAGGCGAGGCCGAAAGGCGUAGUCGAUGGGAAACAGGUUAAUAUUCCUGUACUUGGUGUUACUGCGAAGGGGGGACGGAGAAGGCUAUGUUGGCCGGGCGACGGUUGUCCCGGUUUAAGCGUGUAGGCUGGUUUUCCAGGCAAAUCCGGAAAAUCAAGGCUGAGGCGUGAUGACGAGGCACUACGGUGCUGAAGCAACAAAUGCCCUGCUUCCAGGAAAAGCCUCUAAGCAUCAGGUAACAUCAAAUCGUACCCCAAACCGACACAGGUGGUCAGGUAGAGAAUACCAAGGCGCUUGAGAGAACUCGGGUGAAGGAACUAGGCAAAAUGGUGCCGUAACUUCGGGAGAAGGCACGCUGAUAUGUAGGUGAAGUCCCUCGCGGAUGGAGCUGAAAUCAGUCGAAGAUACCAGCUGGCUGCAACUGUUUAUUAAAAACACAGCACUGUGCAAACACGAAAGUGGACGUAUACGGUGUGACGCCUGCCCGGUGCCGGAAGGUUAAUUGAUGGGGUCAGCGCAAGCGAAGCUCUUGAUCGAAGCCCCGGUAAACGGCGGCCGUAACUAUAACGGUCCUAAGGUAGCGAAAUUCCUUGUCGGGUAAGUUCCGACCUGCACGAAUGGCGUAAUGAUGGCCAGGCUGUCUCCACCCGAGACUCAGUGAAAUUGAACUCGCUGUGAAGAUGCAGUGUACCCGCGGCAAGACGGAAAGACCCCGUGAACCUUUACUAUAGCUUGACACUGAACAUUGAGCCUUGAUGUGUAGGAUAGGUGGGAGGCUUUGAAGUGUGGACGCCAGUCUGCAUGGAGCCGACCUUGAAAUACCACCCUUUAAUGUUUGAUGUUCUAACGUUGACCCGUGAUCCGGGUUGCGGACAGUGUCUGGUGGGUAGUUUGACUGGGGCGGUCUCCUCCUAAAGAGUAACGGAGGAGCACGAAGGUUGGCUAAUCCUGGUCGGACAUCAGGAGGUUAGUGCAAUGGCAUAAGCCAGCUUGACUGCGAGCGUGACGGCGCGAGCAGGUGCGAAAGCAGGUCAUAGUGAUCCGGUGGUUCUGAAUGGAAGGGCCAUCGCUCAACGGAUAAAAGGUACUCCGGGGAUAACAGGCUGAUACCGCCCAAGAGUUCAUAUCGACGGCGGUGUUUGGCACCUCGAUGUCGGCUCAUCACAUCCUGGGGCUGAAGUAGGUCCCAAGGGUAUGGCUGUUCGCCAUUUAAAGUGGUACGCGAGCUGGGUUUAGAACGUCGUGAGACAGUUCGGUCCCUAUCUGCCGUGGGCGCUGGAGAACUGAGGGGGGCUGCUCCUAGUACGAGAGGACCGGAGUGGACGCAUCACUGGUGUUCGGGUUGUCAUGCCAAUGGCACUGCCCGGUAGCUAAAUGCGGAAGAGAUAAGUGCUGAAAGCAUCUAAGCACGAAACUUGCCCCGAGAUGAGUUCUCCCUGACCCUUUAAGGGUCCUGAAGGAACGUUGAAGACGACGACGUUGAUAGGCCG
This 1592-nucleotide ribosomal RNA is filed under the name Escherichia coli. RNAcentral's name for it is "partial 23S ribosomal RNA". It matches the Rfam family "Bacterial large subunit ribosomal RNA", at positions 1291 to 2863 of the family's 2925-position model. The record is from RNAcentral. Lineage: Bacteria; Pseudomonadati; Pseudomonadota; Gammaproteobacteria; Enterobacterales; Enterobacteriaceae.